RNAcentral lists this long non-coding RNA (2905 nucleotides) under Equus caballus (horse). RNAcentral describes it as "lncRNA (ENSECAG00000037605.3)". The record is from RNAcentral. Lineage: Eukaryota; Metazoa; Chordata; Mammalia; Perissodactyla; Equidae.
AUCAAGCCAUGCUGUGGCGGCAUCCCACAUACAAAAUAGAGGAGGAUUGGCACAGAUGUCAGCUCAGUGACAAUCUUCCUCGAGCAAAAAGAGGAAGAUUGGCAACAGAUGUUAGCUCAGGGCCAAUCUUCCUCACCAAAAAAAAAAAAAAAAAAAGGAGGAAGUGUAGUCAGGACAGCACGGCAUUGACCUCAAUGCAGAGCCCUUCUGAGGGCUGGCCCUGUGUGACCGCAGGAUCAUCCACCAGAGCAGCUGCCCUGCUCUCAGCACCCCUCCGUCCUCUCAGAGUCCUGGGGCAGAACCCUCUGUGCAAUGCACUGACCCUAGAGCGGCUGUUAGCCUGUCCUCCCUGGCUGGUGAGGCCGGACUUACAGACUCACAUGUGAGCCCUCUGGGAAAUCGGGGCUCAACAAAGAGCUUCAAAGUGCCGGGCCCUGCCUGAGCUGCCGCCUGCUCUGGGCUGCUGUCCCGAUUGCCAACUCUCGCUCUCCAGUGGCUCAUUGUGGGCUCCCAGUUCGAGGACAUCCGAGAUGCCCUCAUCUGGCUGCUUUGUCAUUUACCGCCUGGCUGAGGCCCAUAGUCAGGCCGGCUGCCCCCUCAGGAGCUUCAGGGCCCGGAGCAGCCGCCUGUGCCGGGGCAGUGCCCCUCUCCCCUCCUGGGCCACCCUCCUGGGCGCUGAACUGACCCCGCAGCAAGCCUGGGCACGGAGCUGCACAUGGUCACCCCUGCAGCCACUGCACCGUGAGGAACAGGCCAGUUUGCAGGGGCCAGGCCUCUGCAAGACCCGAGAGGAGGGGCCAGUCCUGGAGGCCCUACCCUUCUGGGCAUCCUCCCCCCGGGGGACCUGGGACUCCACAUCAGGGCCAUUUGGGGCCUGAGCCUUGGCCCAGGACACUGCAUUCUCUUAGGGCUUCAUCCUUGCCCGUGCGUGACAGAGAAUAGACAGGAGCCUGCAAGACGGGGUCACUGAGGCCGUGUGCCGGCUGGGAGACGCAGAGAUGACAGAGCAGAGGCAACAUGGCAGGGACGAGCUCCCCCAACUGGCACCUUUGCCUGGCAAUUCUUUGUGCUCCUGGGGGUACUGGGCACAAAGACCCGUGCACCCACGCCUUUGGUGCCGGGACUCUGCAGCACCUCCCGUCAGGAAGGGGUGAGUCUGUCUGUCUCUGGCAUCUGGACCAGCCUGUGACUUGCUCUGACCAACAGAACGUGGUGGGAGUGGCACGGGGCCGAUUCUGAGCCAGGCCUGCUGCCCAGGCUCCCCCACACCCGCAGCACGGCCUGGCGGCCUGCUGGGGCACGAUGGGCUGUGACGUCCCGGCGAGCGCCGGAGACGGGAGAGCGGAGGCCCGAUCGGCAGAGCCCUCUCCCAGACCCGCAGCUGAUGGUGGACGCAGGAGCCCGGCCAGCCCAGAGGCCACCAGGUUGAGCCCAGCCUCGCGGCCCCUGCAGACUCGGCCAUUGUUCUAAGCCCCGUGCUCUGGGGUGUUGGUUACGCAGAGGUGCUGAUGGCCACGGGGCCUGGCAGCGAAGGGGCAGCUGUGCACGCAGCCACUGUGUUUCUCUCUUUCCUCCAGAGGAGGUUCUGCCCCCGAGAAGCUCUGCUCAGGGCCCCUUCCUGGGAGCCUGUCCUGAGCAAGGAGCCUGCGGGGCGGAGGCCACCAGGUGUCACGGAAGGAGCCAGUGUGCCAACCACUGCUUCACUGCGUCAUGCACUCACUCCCCAAGGCUUCUGCAGGGGCCCUGGGGAGGCCCAGGCCACAGGGCAGGGUCACGCCUUCCAGUAGCUUCCAGUCCGAUGGCGGAGAUAGACAAGGAAACAGAUGAGGCCACGUGGCGUCUUCUCGAGUCAAACCAGGGGCACCUCCUGUGGGACGGAAACUGUGCUCGGCCCCGGGGUGAGAAGGGCAACCAGACGCAGUUGCGGACCUGGAAGAGAUCAUCGUCUAGCAGAAGAGAUGGUGCAGGCAGGGGCCACAGCUCCGCUUCUGGGCAAACCCAACCGGACGCGGCAGCCACGUGCGCAAACCCAGACGGCGCUGCGGGGGUCUCCUGGGCGGGCGAGGCCAGGUGGCAGGACGCACAAGCCCGGCCCGGGGUUUGGGCCUUCAGCCCAACCUUCGCCAGCCCUGGGAUCUCAGGAAAGCCUCGAUGAGGGGACGGUGUCCUGCCUCCUCCCGUGAUGAGGUAAGGACCACCAUGCCCGAGACCCCGCACCAGGAGAGGGGCACGUGGACUUCACUCACGCCCUGUGCUCACGGGCAGAGCCGACGUCAGGAUUGAAAGGAAGAACCUCGCCCGCCUCACCUGGCUCACGGUGCUCUGGGGCAGAAAGGCAGGUAGCCAGCCACCCCAGCCCCCAGCGGGGUGACCCCAGGCCAGUGAGGGACAGUUCAGAACGAGAAGGCUCCCUUCUCAGCAGGAGGACCCCGGGAAGCCACCUCCUGCAGCCGCUGCAGAGACCAUGCAAGUCUAAUCUGGAGAAUUCUCUGAGCCCGCCAAUGCCUGCCCUGCCAUCCCCAGCUCCCUCCCUCCCUUGCCCCUGCCUGGCCAAGCUCAAAGGGGCGGGGUGGGGGUGGCCCUGUUGCUCUAAUAGAAAUCGCUUUCCGCCAGACAGCACUGUCACAGUACACAAAGUUGUGCUCUUGAAGGAAACAGGGCCGGACGAGCCCGCCUAUUUCACAGAAGUAAUCCCAAGCCCCAAGUGCUCAAUCCUGACCGGGUACCAGUAACUGCAGCCAGCGCUACACCCGGCAUCGCUUGUAUGGCUCACACGGCCUUGCCAGCGGGAACAGCAGGGCCGGCUACGUCAUUUGUGGGGUCCGGUGCAAAACGAAAAUGGAGGGCCCUUCUUCCAAAAUGAGGAGGCCCCUGAACGCAGGGCCCUGUGUGACCCGGGGGCUGG